This is a small nuclear RNA of Oncorhynchus tshawytscha (Chinook salmon), 113 nucleotides long. Its record names the gene U5. It matches the Rfam family "U5 spliceosomal RNA". From Rfam's summary of the family: U5 RNA is a component of both types of known spliceosome. The precise function of this molecule is unknown, though it is known that the 5' loop is required for splice site selection and p220 binding, and that both the 3' stem-loop and the Sm site are important for Sm protein binding and cap methylation. The record is from Ensembl. Lineage: Eukaryota; Metazoa; Chordata; Actinopteri; Salmoniformes; Salmonidae.
ACACUCUAGUUUCUUUUCAGAUCCCUUACAUUUUUCGCCUUUUACUAACGAUUUCCGUGGAAAGGAACAUUGAGUAUCAACACAUUUUUUGAUGUCCGGCCGUAUGGUUGCAC